RNAcentral lists this transfer RNA (83 nucleotides) under Colletotrichum incanum. It matches the Rfam family "tRNA". Rfam says of the family: Transfer RNA (tRNA) molecules are approximately 80 nucleotides in length. Their secondary structure includes four short double-helical elements and three loops (D, anti-codon, and T loops). Lineage: Eukaryota; Fungi; Ascomycota; Sordariomycetes; Glomerellales; Glomerellaceae. The record is from Rfam by way of RNAcentral.
GGCCGGUUGGCCCAAUGGCAAGGCGUCUGACUACGAUACUCCGUGGAAUCAGGAGAUUGUGGGUUCGACCCCCAUGCUGGUCA